RNAcentral lists this ribosomal RNA (494 nucleotides) under uncultured bacterium. RNAcentral describes it as "partial 16S ribosomal RNA". It matches the Rfam family "Bacterial small subunit ribosomal RNA", at positions 28 to 507 of the family's 1533-position model. The record is from RNAcentral.
GACGAACGCUGGCGGCGUGCUUAACACAUGCAAGUCGAACGGUGAAGCGCCUUCCUUUUUGGUGGGUGUGGAUGAGUGGCGAACGGGUGAGUAACACGUGAGUAACCUGCCCCCUUCUUCUGGAUAACCGCAUGAAAGUGUGGCUAAUACGGGAUAUUCUGGUUCGGUCGCAUGAUGGGUCUGGGAAAGAUAUUGUUUCGGUGGGGGAUGGGCUCGCGUCCUAUCAGCUUGUUGGUGGGGUGAUGGCCUACCAAGGCGGUGACGGAUAGCCGGCCUGGGAGGGUGGACGGCCACACUGGGAAUGAGACACGCCCCAGACUCCGACGAGAGGCAGCAUGGGAGAAUAUUGCACAGUGGGCGCAAUCCUGAUGCAGCGACGACGCGUGAGAGAUGGAGUCCUUCGGGUUGUGAACCUCUUUCGCCAGUGAAGCAGGCCUGCCUCGUUUGUGGGUGGGUUGACGGUAGCUGGAUAAGAAGCGCCGGCUAACUACGUG